UGGGGAAUAUUGCGCAAUGGGGGAAACCCUGACGCAGCGACGCCGCGUGCGGGAUGAAGGCCUUCGGGUUGUAAACCGCUUUUGAUUGGGAGCAAGCUUUCGGGUGAGUGUACCUUUCGAAUAAGCGCCGGCUAACUACGUGCCAGCAGCCGCGGUAAUACGUAGGGCGCAAGCGUUAUCCGGAAUUAUUGGGCGUAAAGAGCUUGUAGGCGGUUCGUCGCGUCUGGGGUGAAAGCCCAUCGCUUAACGGUGGGUUUGCGCCGGGUACGGGCGGGCUAGAGUGCAGUAGGGGAGACUGGAAUUCCCGGUGUAACGGUGGAAUGUGUAGAUAUCGGGAAGAACACCAAUGGCGAAGGCAGGUCUCUGGGCUGUUACUGACGCUGAGAAGCGAAAGCGUGGGGAGCGAACAGG
RNAcentral lists this ribosomal RNA (411 nucleotides) under Bacteroidota bacterium. RNAcentral's name for it is "Bacteroidetes bacterium partial 16S ribosomal RNA". It matches the Rfam family "Bacterial small subunit ribosomal RNA", at positions 355 to 776 of the family's 1533-position model. The record is from RNAcentral. Lineage: Bacteria; Pseudomonadati; Bacteroidota.